AUUGAACGCUGGCGGCAUGCCUUACACAUGCAAGUCGAGCGGUAACAGGUCUUCGGAUGCUGACGAGUGGCGAACGGGUGAGUAAUACAUCGGAACGUGCCCGAUCGUGGGGGAUAACGGAGCGAAAGCUUUGCUAAUACCGCAUACGAUCUACGGAUGAAAGCAGGGGACUGCAAGGCCUUGCGCGGACGGAGCGGCCGAUGGCGGAUUAGGUAGUUGGUGAGAUAAAAGCUUACCAAGCCGACGAUCUGUAGCUGGUCUGAGAGGACGACCAGCCACACUGGGACUGAGACACGGCCCAGACUCCUACGGGAGGCAGCAGUGGGGUAUUUUGGACAAUGGGCGAAAGCCUGAUCCAGCCAUGCCGCGUGCAGGAUGAAGGCCUUCGGGUUGUAAACUUCUUUUGUACGGAACGAAAAGACGCUUUCUAAUAAAGAGGGUCCAUGACGGUACCGUAAGAAUAAGCACCGGCUAACUACGUG
RNAcentral lists this ribosomal RNA (482 nucleotides) under uncultured bacterium. Its description in RNAcentral is "partial 16S ribosomal RNA". It matches the Rfam family "Bacterial small subunit ribosomal RNA", at positions 30 to 507 of the family's 1533-position model. The record is from RNAcentral.